Molecule: ribosomal RNA, 766 nt
Filed under: Clathrina peruana
Lineage: Eukaryota; Metazoa; Porifera; Calcarea; Clathrinida; Clathrinidae
Description: eukaryotic LSU rRNA
Rfam family: 5.8S ribosomal RNA (bases 276-429)
Source: RNAcentral
GGAGGAUCAUUAUCGAUUCUAACACCUCAAUCACUGUGAACUGGGUCGCUGCAUGGCAGCUCCUUUCGGGGUUUGGGCUCCCUAAUUAAAUCGGAUUGCUGGCGUGCGCGCUUCAAGGCGUGUGUGCUUGCUUUUCGGGCCCCGAUUGGAGUUUGUUCGUGCAGUGGUUUUCACGGCCGAGCCCCGUGCUCGGCAUUCGUGAACCUUUUUACCAACCUUGCAAAUUUGCAGACUGUACUGUUGGUCAAGCUUGUCUUGAUAACUUAAUCAUGGACAACUUUCAACGGUGGAUCUCUUGGCUCGUGGAUCGAUGAAGAACGCAGCAAAACGCGAUAUGUAGUGUGAAUUGCAGAAUUCAGUGAAUCAUCGAAUCUUUGAACGCAAAUGGCGCCCCUGGGUAUUCCCAGGAGCAUGUCUGUCUCAGUGUCGUUUUCACCUCGAGCACGCUUCGGCGUGGUGGUCUUGAGGCGUCUGGUUGCUUUCAGCUCCCAGUCCCUUGAAAUAGAGUGGCCGGACAGUGUGUGCUCUCGGGUCUGGUUCGCCCCGAACUCGCUCGCACGGCUGAUGGUGAGAUUUCUUUUAAUCUCCCUUGUCGUGUCGCAGCGGACUGUGGGGUUGAGCCAGGCUCCGAAACGGGCCUCUUGUCCGAAACAAGCCAGUUCUGGAAAACGCAGUUUUUCGUUCACUCGGAAAACAUCUUCGACCUGAGAUCAGGCAAGACUACCCGCUGAAUUUAAGCAUAUUAAUAAGCGGAGGAAAAGAAACU